UACGUAGGGUGCAAGCGUUGUCCGGAAUUAUUGGGCGUAAAGAGCGUGUAGGCGGCGUGGCAAGUCCGGUGUGAAAACUCGAGGCUCAACCUCGAGACGCCGGUGGAAACUGCAAAGCUAGAGUCCGGAAGAGGAGAGUGGAAUUCCUGGUGUAGCGGUGAAAUGCGCAGAUAUCAGGAAGAACACCCGUGGCGAAGGCGGCUCUCUGGGACGGUACUGACGCUGAGACGCGAAAGCGUGGGGAGCGAACAGG
This 253-nucleotide ribosomal RNA is filed under the name uncultured bacterium. Its description in RNAcentral is "partial 16S ribosomal RNA". It matches the Rfam family "Bacterial small subunit ribosomal RNA", at positions 524 to 776 of the family's 1533-position model. The record is from RNAcentral.